RNAcentral lists this ribosomal RNA (499 nucleotides) under uncultured bacterium. RNAcentral describes it as "partial 16S ribosomal RNA". It matches the Rfam family "Bacterial small subunit ribosomal RNA", at positions 28 to 507 of the family's 1533-position model. The record is from RNAcentral.
GACGAACGCUGGCGGCGUGCCUAAUACAUGCAAGUCGAGCGAAGUUUUUCUGGUGCUUGCACUAGAAAAACUUAGCGGCGAACGGGUGAGUAACACGUAAAGAACCUGCCUCAUAGACUGGGACAACUAUUGGAAACGAUAGCUAAUACCGGAUAACAGCAUUAACUGCAUGGUUGAUGUUUAAAAGUUGGUUUUGCUAACACUAUGAGAUGGCUUUGCGGUGCAUUAGCUAGUUGGUGGGGUAAAGGCCUACCAAGGCGACGAUGCAUAGCCGACCUGAGAGGGUGAUCGGCCACACUGGGACUGAGACACGGCCCAGACUCCUACGGGAGGCAGCAGUAGGGAAUCUUCCGCAAUGGGCGAAAGCCUGACGGAGCAACGCCGCGUGAGUGAAGAAGGAUUUCGGUUCGUAAAGCUCUGUUGUUAGGGAAGAAUGAUUGUGUAGUAACUAUACACAGUAGAGACGGUACCCAACCAGAAAGCCACGGCUAACUACGUG